Molecule: ribosomal RNA, 374 nt
Filed under: Praomys lukolelae (Lukolela Praomys)
Lineage: Eukaryota; Metazoa; Chordata; Mammalia; Rodentia; Muridae
Description: partial 16S ribosomal RNA
Rfam family: Archaeal large subunit ribosomal RNA
Source: RNAcentral
UAGAGGCACUGCCUGCCCAGUGACUAUAGUUAAACGGCCGCGGUAUCCUGACCGUGCAAAGGUAGCAUAAUCACUUGUUCCUUAAUUAGGGACUUGCAUGAACGGCUAAACGAAGGUUCAACUGUCUCUUAUUUUCAAUCAGUGAAAUUGACCUCCCAGUGAAGAGGCUGGAAUAACCCAAUAAGACGAGAAGACCCUAUGGAGCUUAAAUUUAUAAUCUUAUUUAUAACCUAAAUUCACCUAAUGGUAUAAAAAUAAUAUUGUAAAAUUAAAAUUUUGGUUGGGGUGACCUCGGAGAACAAAAAAUCCUCCGAAAGAUUCUAACAUAGACUAACAAGUCAAAGUAACCCAAAUUCUAAAUUGACCCAAAACAA